RNAcentral lists this transfer RNA (73 nucleotides) under Tetracentron sinense. It matches the Rfam family "tRNA". From Rfam's summary of the family: Transfer RNA (tRNA) molecules are approximately 80 nucleotides in length. Their secondary structure includes four short double-helical elements and three loops (D, anti-codon, and T loops). Further hydrogen bonds mediate the characteristic L-shaped molecular structure. tRNAs have two regions of fundamental functional importance: the anti-codon, which is responsible for specific mRNA codon recognition, and the 3' end, to which the tRNAs corresponding amino acid is attached (by aminoacyl-tRNA synthetases). tRNAs cope with the degeneracy of the genetic code in two manners: having more than one tRNA (with a specific anti-codon) for a particular amino acid; and 'wobble' base-pairing, i.e. permitting non-standard base-pairing at the 3rd anti-codon position. Lineage: Eukaryota; Viridiplantae; Streptophyta; Magnoliopsida; Trochodendrales; Trochodendraceae. The record is from Rfam by way of RNAcentral.
ACCUACUUAAUCCAAUGGUUAGAGUAUUGCUUCCAUACGGCAGGAGCCAUUGGUUCAAAUCCAAUAGUAGGUA